GGUUUGUUUACAAACCGCAUACAAUAAUACGAUGUUUUGUGCAACGCACAAAACUCGAUAGAUAAACAGUGAGGUUGAAUUUCUGCCGAACUGUUUAUCAUAU
This 103-nucleotide small RNA is filed under the name Treponema denticola ATCC 35405. Its description in RNAcentral is "TD-2 RNA". It matches the Rfam family "TD-2 RNA". Rfam says of the family: non coding RNA found in Treponema denticola The record is from Rfam by way of RNAcentral. Lineage: Bacteria; Pseudomonadati; Spirochaetota; Spirochaetia; Treponematales; Treponemataceae.